GAGUCCCCUCCACCUCAGUUGUUGCUCCAUCAUCAGUCACCCUACCAAUGUCUCCAUUAACAUCACUUCCACCACAAAUUCACAAUCUUCCAGUGCUUAUUGUGAUGAAUAAUGGUAAAAUCAUUAGCGAUAUAUUUUGGAAAAAAACCCCACUAAUCUCAAAAUAAUUUAGAUGGUCACUUGUCAACACACCGAAUAACGUUACACGAGGGAGUAACAGAGGUUGGAAGUGACAGUCAAAUGUCCAAUUUCUCACAGCAUAAUAUUUAUGUGAGUUUAUUUAUUUUAAAUUUUGACAAAAAACAAUUUUUGCGGAAAUUCGCUUUUUAGAACUAAGUUUUGAAAAAUUGGUUAUUUGAAAGUUUUUUAAUUUUUAAAACUUGAGAAAAGUUGGUUUAAAAGUAUAAUUUAUUGAAAAUAGAGAAAAAGUGAUUUUUAAAGUUUCUGUAACUCAAAAAAUUAAAUAUUCGAAUUUUUAACGAAAUUUAACAAAAAAUUCAGGUAGCACCAAUAAGGAAUUUAAAAAAAAUCAUUUUCGGAUAUUAUGGAUUAUCUAAUCCAAAUUUGAGAAAAUUAAAAUUAAAUUAUAUUAUUCCGAAUAGAAUUAAUUUUUUAAUCACAAAUUGCAAAAUAUGCAUAUUUAAUACAAAAUCGAAAAAUCGAUAUUGAAAAUAUCGUAGUUUCAAAAUAAAUAUAAUUUUUGAAAAAAAAAGUUCCACAGAUCCAUUUUUGAGUUUCUAUAGUUCCAAAAAUCUGAAAUUUCUGAGAAAAUUCCAAGAAUUUUGGAAAUUUUCUUAAUUUCCAUAAAUUUCUAAAAAAAUCCAUAAUUUCCGAAAAUUCAAAAAAUGUAGAAAUUUCACACAAAAAAUCUAACAGUUUCAGAAAUUUGAACUUUCCGAAAAUAUCGAGAAAGUUCCUAAGUUUUUUGGAAUUUAUGAAAAAAAAACACUUUUUUUUCCAAUAAUUUCCAAAAAACUGAAAGUUUCUGAGAAAAUUUUUUAAAAAAAUUAGAAUUUUCAAAAAAUCUAGUAAUUUCCUCAAUUUUCGCUAGAAAUUUCUGAGUUUUCAUAAAUUCUACAAAUGUUUCAAAAUUACCAAAAAAACAAUUUUUUAUUGCUAUUUUCUCGAAUUUUCAGCUCGAUGGUCCGGAUAUUCGUGGACGCCACGCGGCAAUCGCUUUCAUGGAAGGCGUCGUCACACUAACACCAUCCACUCGUGAUGCCUACCUAGAG
Molecule: small RNA, 1232 nt
Filed under: Caenorhabditis elegans
Lineage: Eukaryota; Metazoa; Nematoda; Chromadorea; Rhabditida; Rhabditidae
Description: Unclassified non-coding RNA W03F11.8
Source: RNAcentral